GAAAAUAUGUUAAUGUAUGGCUUCUAUUCAAAAAGGAGCUGCAUCUACAACUAAGUUAAUUAUUCACAUAGAUGAGGAAGAAAGGAUGAUCUUAUUCUUAAUAAUACUGUUCAUGAUCCAAAAAUAUUUGUUAUAUUAAUUUAUGCAAAGGCAUAAAACAUCAACAAUCACUUAAUUAUUUGUAAUUAGGAAAAAAGAAAUACCAGAAUCGCCAAAAUAUUUUAAUAGUACUAUCCUGCCUCUUCC
Molecule: long non-coding RNA, 246 nt
Filed under: Bos taurus (domestic cattle)
Lineage: Eukaryota; Metazoa; Chordata; Mammalia; Artiodactyla; Bovidae
Description: long non-coding RNA NONBTAT004080
Source: RNAcentral